RNAcentral lists this long non-coding RNA (1097 nucleotides) under Salvia miltiorrhiza (redroot sage). RNAcentral's name for it is "long non-coding RNA (SMIL_LNC007283)". Lineage: Eukaryota; Viridiplantae; Streptophyta; Magnoliopsida; Lamiales; Lamiaceae. The record is from RNAcentral.
GCUCAAAACUGUGCCCACCAUCAACACAUAUUCGUGACUUUUCCAUAUCCACUAUCCAAAGCAGGACUUUAAUUCUUCCUAAGUGGAUUCAUUCUAUCUCUAAGAUAAUAAAACUUGGCCCUCCUCACUCUUUUCUUGUCCAACACUGUUCUCUCCUUUAUGUUUGGAGAAUACCUGUCAUUUUCCAACUUAAUUAGUAACAAACAUUUUUUCAUGUGGCAAGAAGGAAUAGAUAAGGUAGCAAUCACAUAUACUUGAGUCAGAAAGUCUGUUAUAUGCAUUUGAGAUGUUUCUGAGCAUUGAUGCAUCGAAUUUUCUAACAUUAAAUGAAUUUCAAAUAAAACUGUAAAGUCAUAUAAGGAAAAGAAGGAGCAGGCAACAAUGUGAAGGUGGUGCAAACAGAGAUCAGAGGUAGUUAGCUUAUUUGAAAUUCAUAGGCAUUUAAUUUACCUCUAAUGCAGUGUAAAAUGGCUCCACAACGCAAGCUGCAAAACAACCAAGAUUAAAGAUCAAAUGAUAAUACGACAGAAAAGGGGCAACCAAAGAUCCAAAACUGCAGUAGUUCUUAUGCAGUCAAAUGUUAAAAUGGAGAACAUAUAGUAUAAAGGUCAAGAAUUUCAUUUAGGGACUCAAAACUUUUAUAAACAUAGACCUCUAUUGCAAAAUACUAUAUCACAAUAUAACAAUCUAACAACAUCAAGAGCAACAAAAUCUCUUUGAACUCCGUGAUAUCCUAUAUUAAUAACUACUUGCAUAAGAAACUAUAGCAGUUUACAAAUCUGAUUUUGAACUUAUACAACCACAAGAUUUCUAUCAACAUGUAUAUAUCUCAUAAUUACAAUAAACCAUUACUACAUAUAAAUUUUUUUUUAUCACGAACCAUUUUCUUCCAACCUAACACAUUAUAGAUCAUUGUUUUUCUCCUCCCAACAGAUCAAAAUGCAUCAGAUAUGAAUUAAAUGACACUGAAGCAAUUAUCUACAAACUAAAAAUUCCAUUCAACGCAACAACAAACGGAAAACAGAGCAAUCAAAACCGAAAUUCGUAAAGAAUGGAGUAAAGCAAUCGCUUACUCCCUCAUAGAGUUAGUUGGAGUG